Molecule: unclassified non-coding RNA, 202 nt
Filed under: Hevea brasiliensis (rubber tree)
Lineage: Eukaryota; Viridiplantae; Streptophyta; Magnoliopsida; Malpighiales; Euphorbiaceae
Source: RNAcentral
UCUAUUGCUUACUAUACCAGCUAGGGUUUUGUUUUUUUUUACACAGAAAAAAUGGGGCAACAAUCGCUGAUCUACAGUUUCGUUGCGCGAGGAACUGUGAUUCUCGCCGAAUACACUGAAUUCACCGGUAAUUUCACAAGUAUAGCUUCACAGUGCCUCCAGAAACUUCCGGCUUCUAAUAACAAGUUCACCUAUAACUGCG